Molecule: long non-coding RNA, 518 nt
Organism: Pipistrellus kuhlii (Kuhl's pipistrelle)
Lineage: Eukaryota; Metazoa; Chordata; Mammalia; Chiroptera; Vespertilionidae
Exons: 2
Source: RefSeq, a predicted model, not a curated record
GGGAAGGACGCGGCCACCUCCACCCCGGAAUGGGACCCGCCCAGCUCCCGCCCACCCCGGAAGAGGGCCGGGCACAGCCGCGCCCAUCCCGGAAAGGACUUGGUCCGGCUCCCCCCCGCUCCAGGUUAGCUGACGGGUCAGCGUCCGCUGGAGCGCUGGGGAGGGAAAGGGGUGCCGGCGGGGGACGGGGUCGGGGCCCCGGACCGCGGGGAGAGGCAUCCUCCCCCGCCCCGGGGAGGGACCCCUCUCCGUCUGCGCGCAGAUCGCUGAUGCCGUGUGAGCCCGGCGCGGGAAGCCUCUAGGAGCCGGAGGUCACGGUCCGGGCACCGGCCGCCGGCUCCUCGCGAGUUCGCGAAGCACGUUUGCACUCCAGCAUGUGCGCAGGUUUGAGUAUCUUCAGUUAAACUAGAAAUACCAUUUUAGAAAAAAAAUAUUUACACUCCAAAGAGUAACUGAAACAACCAAGAUUCUUCAAUGUAUCUUCAAAAUUAAGCACUUUUUCAUUAGUGGUAUAUGUA